AAGUGCAGCUCCAUCACAGAUGGGAAAAAGCAGAGAAGGUCGCUAAUCUAGCUAAAGAGGAGUUAGCUGCUGUCUUAAAAGAGGCACCAGGUAAACCUUUAAUAUUGUACUUUUAUUCAGUUAAGUGUUACACGAAUUGACUAUUCUGUUAGUCAAGAUUCUCAGUCGUCAAAGUUUUCUUAACAAGAAGGCAAGAAGGACAUCCAUGACUGACCUUCAAAAUGACUAAUACAUUCUUUUUUAGCGAGUGUUUCAGAGCACACUGUACAGAGAUGGAUGGAAACGGAGAACGAAGUUGCUAGAUUGACAGUUUUGAAAACCAAAACAGCAGGUAUCGCGUGUGUGUGCGUGUGUGUGUGUGUGUGUGUGUGUGUGUGUGUGUGUGUGUGUGUGUGUGUGUGUGUGUGUGUGAUCUUGUUCAUUAUUUAACCAUAAUAUCUUGACCUUUGUUCUCUAGACAGUGUUCCCAAAUGGAAGAGGGUGUAUGUGACAACGCUGAUUGAGCUCCAGCAGCUCAAGUAAGACAGUAACUGUUGUACUUUGAAAAUUGCAUCAAUCUAAAUGAAUGCAAGAUUACUUCACUGUAUUUCAUGUUAAAAAAAUGUGACCCCAACAAUAAAUAUGUAAGCAUCUUUCUUUUAAGUGCGUUGCGCUAUGUGUGUGUUUAAACACAACUAUUUUACAUUUAGAUCAUGUGAUCAUGAUUCAGCUGUUGCAGAUGAGAAAAAGAUUGAAUCUUGUCUUCAAAAAAUUGAAAGACAGUACCAUAUAACAAGAAGAUGGAAUCAGUCAGAUUCGAUAUUCCAGUCAACACUGUUAGAGCUCGACCAGGACAUUCGAGGUAAACUGGUCAUGCAGGCACGAACUGAGGCAAGGGAAAGACUUACACUUCUUCACUUGAAGCGGAAAUACCCAGAUGGACAGGGAAUUGCUGUCAGAUUGUCUAAACAAAUUAAGGCCUGUAACAAGAGACUGAGGAAAACCAUAACAGAUUACAAUAGUCUGCAAUGGCCACCACAGACAACCAUCUUCCCACCACAGAUGGAUUUUCAAGAAGCAUGUGAUCCCUCCUGGCCUGUCUACUGUAGCAUUGAUGAAAAUACAGAGGAAGGAGACUUUUCACGAUCCCUCAAAAGACGUGCCAUUGAUGCAUUGCACCUGAAGACCAGGGCUGCUGAGGAGGAGAUCAUGCUUCAGGAUGAAAUGAAGACUUUAAUACAUCAUGUUCAGCAACAACAUGCUUCUUUACACUCAGCUAUUACUAAUACUAAGCAACCUGGCUCCAGAGCUGUUCUUGUUGGCACCAUUAUAAACUUGGAACAGAAACUACAUAAUGCUACCUUGAUGUUCCAGCAACACAUUCCAAGUAUUGCUCCUCUUUCACACGCUUACCUGCCACAGUUGAAUGUAGUCUGCCAGAACGUGAUAUCACCGGAUGUGUACAUGGCUUUAUUCAACGACGAUGAUGAUGAUGAUGAUGAUGAUGAAGAUGGUAAUGAUGAUGAUGAGGAGGAUUGUGAUGAUAGCAUUUAAAGCUAAAAUAAAAUGCAGAUUCAUCCAACA
Molecule: long non-coding RNA, 1563 nt
Filed under: Betta splendens (Siamese fighting fish)
Lineage: Eukaryota; Metazoa; Chordata; Actinopteri; Anabantiformes; Osphronemidae
Description: lncRNA (ENSBSLG00000007159.1)
Source: RNAcentral